This 468-nucleotide ribosomal RNA is filed under the name uncultured bacterium. RNAcentral's name for it is "partial 16S ribosomal RNA". It matches the Rfam family "Bacterial small subunit ribosomal RNA", at positions 28 to 507 of the family's 1533-position model. The record is from RNAcentral.
GACGAACGCUGGCGGCGUGCUUAACACAUGCAAGUCGAACGGAAAGGCCCUGCUUUUGUGGGGUGCUCGAGUGGCGAACGGGUGAGUAACACGUGAGUAACCUGCCCUUGACUUUGGGAUAACUUCAGGAAACUGGGGUUAAUACCGGAUAGGAGCUCCUGCUGCAUGGUGGGGGUUGGAAAGUUUCGGCGGUUGGGGAUGGACUCGCGGCUUAUCAGCUUGUUGGUGGGGUAGUGGCUUACCAAGGCUUUGACGGGUAGCCGGCCUGAGAGGGUGACCGGCCACAUUGGGACUGGGAUACGGCCCAGACUCCUACGGGAGGAAGCAGUGGGGAAUAUUGCACAAUGGGCGGAGGCCUGAUGCAGCAACGCCGCGUGCGGGAUGACGGCCUUCGGGUUGUAAACCGCUUCCGCCUGUGACGAAGCGUGAGUGACGGUAAUGGGUAAAGAAGCACCGGCUAACUACGUG